This 679-nucleotide long non-coding RNA is filed under the name Chinchilla lanigera (long-tailed chinchilla). RNAcentral describes it as "lncRNA (ENSCLAG00000025515.1)". The record is from RNAcentral. Lineage: Eukaryota; Metazoa; Chordata; Mammalia; Rodentia; Chinchillidae.
CAGAAACACAAGUUGGACAAACUUCUGCAAAAAUAGGCCUUUUAUGGAUCUCUAGGCCAAACCAUGGGAAAAGCAGAGGCGUCAGGAGAUAGGUGUGGGACAGCUGUCCUGGCUCUCCUGGCUGCUCUCUAAGGUCACUGGUUUCAUUGUCUCAUACUCCGUCCAUGGGAAGAGCCCACAGGGGCCAGGUCCACUCUCCAGCUCCAGCUUCAUACUGGGUUGCAUAAGGAGAAAGGCUCUGCGCUCUCAGCAAGUUUAACAAGCUCCAGGGAGGACCCUUCGUGCCUGCCCAAGGUGUUCUUCAGGGUCUGAAAGCUUCCAAUUGGAAAGAGUGGACACAAAAGGCUCCCUUGGAAUUGUGCGCUGUGGGAUGGAGCAGCAAGUGUGAGACACAGAAUCCAGCAAAGCAUGGCUGUGCGACCCCGGUCCCCUUCAUCGCCAGCCCACAGGUCCUGAAGAGGAGCAGCGGCAGCCACCAGGACCUUCUGUGUGUCACCAAGAGAGACCUGGUGUGAGGACCUCGAGGGCUUGGCCCAGGACCCCUGGGGUCUGCAGGGACCCACGGUCCUUCUGCAUAUCGUCACCCCCGCCUGUCCUGCUGAAGCAUGGUUGCUAUCAUUCCUUUUAACUAGUAUUUUUUUGAUAAUUUAAAGCAACACAAAUAAAGCCUAUGUUUUAA